RNAcentral lists this ribosomal RNA (491 nucleotides) under uncultured bacterium. Its description in RNAcentral is "bacterial SSU rRNA". It matches the Rfam family "Bacterial small subunit ribosomal RNA", at positions 903 to 1397 of the family's 1533-position model. The record is from RNAcentral.
AAAUGAAUAGACGGGGACCCGCACAAGAGGUGGAGUAUGUGGUUUAAUUCGACGCUACGCGAAGAACCUUACCUGGGCUCGAACGACUGGUGGUAGCUUUUAUGAAAGUAGAAGCGAUCCGCAAGGAAGCCAGCCGAGGUGCUGCAUGGUUGUCGUCAGCUCGUGUCGUGAGAUGUUGGGUUAAGUCCCGCAACGAGCGCAACCCCUAUCCUGUGUUGCUCAGCAAUGAGAUCUCUCAGGAGACUGCCGCGGAUAACGUGGAGGAAGGUGGGGAUGACGUCAAAUCAUCAUGGCCUUUAUGUCCAGGGCUACACACGUACUACAAUGGCGUACACAGAGGGCAGCAAAGCCGCGAGGCAGAGCCAAUCCCUAAAUUACGCCCCAGUUCAGAUUGCAGGCUGCAAUUCGCCUGCAUGAAGCCGGAAUCUCUAGUAAUCGCAGAUCAGCACGCUGCGGUGAAUACGUUCCCGGGUCUUGUACACACCGCCCGU